GAUGAACGCUGGCGGCGUGCUUAACACAUGCAAGUCGAACGGUGAAAGAGAGCUUGCUCUCUGGAUCAGUGGCGAACGGGUGAGUAACACGUGAGCAAUCUGCCCCUGACUCUGGGAUAAGCGCUGGAAACGGCGUCUAAUACCGGAUACGAGCUGCGAAGGCAUCUUCAGCAGCUGGAAAGAACUUCGGUCAGGGAUGAGCUCGCGGCCUAUCAGCUAGUUGGUGAGGUAACGGCUCACCGAGGCGUCGACGGGUAGCCGGCCUGAGAGGGUGACCGGCGACACUGGGACUGAGACACGGCCCAGACUCCUACGGGAGGCAGCAGUGGGGAAUAUUGCACAAUGGGCGAAAGCCUGAUGCAGCAACGCCGCGUGAGGGACGACGGCCUUCGGGUUGUAAACCUCUUUUAGCAGGGAAGAAGCGAAAGUGACGGUACCUGCAGAAAAAGCACCGGCUAACUACGUG
RNAcentral lists this ribosomal RNA (466 nucleotides) under uncultured bacterium. RNAcentral's name for it is "partial 16S ribosomal RNA". It matches the Rfam family "Bacterial small subunit ribosomal RNA", at positions 28 to 507 of the family's 1533-position model. The record is from RNAcentral.